This 311-nucleotide ribosomal RNA is filed under the name Albinaria virgo. Its description in RNAcentral is "partial 12S ribosomal RNA". Lineage: Eukaryota; Metazoa; Mollusca; Gastropoda; Stylommatophora; Clausiliidae. The record is from RNAcentral.
UCAUUUAUUUACUAAGGAGUAAAACUAUAUAGUUUAAACUUAAAAAUUAUGGCGGCUAAAUAAAACACUUAGGGGAACUUACCAUAUAAUUGAUAGUCRCCAAGCAUAAUCAUACUUACUUUUAAAAUUUGUAUACCGUUGCCUUCAUGAGCCCCUUCGAAGGGGCUCAUGACUAUUAAUUAAAUAUUAAGACAAAUCAAGGUGCAGUUUAUUAGUGAGAACUAAGGUGAGUUACAAUAAAAAAUUUUUUUCGGAAUUUUUAAUGAAAGAUUAUAUAAAGAUGGACUUAAAAGUAAUAAUUUAAGAAUAAA